RNAcentral lists this long non-coding RNA (788 nucleotides) under Durio zibethinus. Its description in RNAcentral is "long non-coding RNA (DZIB_LNC001614)". The record is from RNAcentral. Lineage: Eukaryota; Viridiplantae; Streptophyta; Magnoliopsida; Malvales; Malvaceae.
UAUGAAUGUUCCACCAUUUUGUUCUUUGGAAACUUGACCAAACAAACUCAAAAAUGUCACUAAAAUAACCUAAUAAACCAACAUUUCAUUCUUUGAAAAUUAAACAAAACACCUUGCAAACUUGAAAAACAUAUUAAAAAACAUCAUCAUACAUAUGGAUUCAAGCAAUAUUUUGCCAUAAAAUGAUGAACAACUUUUGGCUAAGCAUAUUUUGACCAAAUAUAUUUUCAUUCAUUUCACUCAAGCAUGCAUUAAUACUUACUCAUCAAACCAUCAUGUAAGGAAAUUAAAAUCAUAUGAAGAAUUCUACCAACAUAAAGCAAAUUAAAAAUAGCUAAGAAAUCAUAAACCAAUAGAACAUAGACCAAACACUACCAUUUAACCAUCAUAAAUUCAUCAUCUAACCAUCAUAAACAACAUUUUGAAGCAACCAAACAUUAAAAAAGAACCAAGAGAAGGUUUGGCCAUGGUAAAAGAGGUUUGGCCAAACCUCCAACUUGGUUUAAUGGUGGAUUUUGAUUUUUUUUUUUUUGUUACUUGAUUCUUUGGUUUCAAUCCAAACUAUUAUUUAGUUGGAAGAACUUUGAACCAAGAUUAAAUUAAAAAAAAAGCUAUAAACUUUCAAGAAAAAAAAAUAGAAAACUAAUAUGAAAAUGUUGUGAAAAUGUGAUGAGAAUGUAAUGAAAGUGUAAGAAAAAAAUUUUUCUACCUCCAUCCACGUUUUCUUAAACUUUCCUAUUUUUUCUUUUUUUUUUGUUUGAUUUUCUCCCCUGUUUUUUUGUUUCCAG